CAUUAUUAUUAUUAUUUCUCUCAUUUUUUGGCCGUGAUCAAGAUAAAGUCAGCAACCAAAGAAACUUAUUAUUUUCAUUAUCAUAAUCAUUAACAAAACGCAAAAAAAAUAUUUCUCUCACUCAUUCGCACUGAUUUUUAAUUCCAUAAUUGCAAUCGAUUUUCAUCAUCAAAUUUUUUUUUUUGUUUGUUUGUUCAACCUCAACCUCAUCAUCAUUAUUAUUAUUGUCGAUUUUUUUUCGUUUUUGUUUUCUAUUUCCUAUAACAAUUCUACGGGUACAUUAAAAUUCAAUACAAAUUCAUUUUAUUCGAUUCAAUCGACAAUUUUCAACCAUCAUCAUUAUACAUCAUCAUCAAUAACAUCAACUUCACUAUACAACUAGCAAAAUUUUUAUAUAUAGAAAUUGGAAAAAAACAAGAACAAAAUAGAUCUAUUUCACUGGAAUUCAUGUUUGCAUCAAACUUUGAAAAUAGAUAGAAAACAAAAUGGUAAAAAUCAGAUUUCCUUGGAAUUGAAAACGACAACGACGACAAUAACAACAACAACAAUAAGAAUAAGAACCAAAUAAUAAAAUACAACAGUCAAGCAUCAACAUUGAUAGUUGUUGUUGUUGUUGUUAUUGUUUUGUGAAGAUAAUGUAGCAUUUUUUCAUUGGAAAAAGAGAUUCCAAAAAAAAACAUCAUUCUUUCUCUGAUUUCGUGCCGAAACGAAAACAAAAUUAUUCGGACAUCGGAUUAUAUU
Dermatophagoides farinae (American house dust mite) is the source of this 741-nucleotide non-coding RNA. NCBI's taxonomy places the organism in Eukaryota, Metazoa, Arthropoda, Arachnida, Sarcoptiformes, Pyroglyphidae. The record is from RefSeq and is a predicted model, not a curated record.